Long non-coding RNA from Harpia harpyja (harpy eagle), 314 nucleotides. RefSeq lists it as uncharacterized. The record is from RefSeq and is a predicted model, not a curated record. The transcript is spliced from 3 exons. Lineage: Eukaryota; Metazoa; Chordata; Aves; Accipitriformes; Accipitridae.
AACUCAGUUAGUGCUGCCCUGCUACUGACUUUUUCUUUUCUUGUUUCUUUCUCUUCUUCUUUUCCUUAAAUGUAGGCAACCUUCCUUAUAAUGAAUGUCUCUGUGCCCAGUCAUCCCUUCGUUGCAGCAUCAGGAAAAAACCAGAUAGAUGUUACCAUUUGCCUAGGUGGCUGAGAAGCAAUUUCAAGCAACGAGGAAGUUCUGGCCCGGUAGCGUUCAUCACUUCGUUUCUAGUAGAAAAAUUAGUCAUGAUGUCAGACUUCUGGAUCGUUUGAAAAGGCUUACCAUAAUAACACCAAUGCAAUAUAUACCUC